GUUUUUAUAGUUGAAUACAACAGAAGUUUUUCGGACUUCCGGUCUAGGUUAGAGUCCUUGUAGAAAUU
RNAcentral lists this transfer RNA (68 nucleotides) under Leptodactylus fallax (mountain chicken frog). RNAcentral's name for it is "tRNA-Glu". It matches the Rfam family "tRNA". From Rfam's summary of the family: Transfer RNA (tRNA) molecules are approximately 80 nucleotides in length. Lineage: Eukaryota; Metazoa; Chordata; Amphibia; Anura; Leptodactylidae. The record is from RNAcentral.